Molecule: ribosomal RNA, 253 nt
Filed under: uncultured bacterium
Lineage: Bacteria
Description: partial 16S ribosomal RNA
Rfam family: Bacterial small subunit ribosomal RNA
Source: RNAcentral
UACGGAGAGUGCAAACGUUGUUCGGAAUUAUUGGGCGUAAAGGGCGCGUAGGCGGCCUGGUAAGUCGGAUGUGAAAGCCCAGGGCUCAACCUUGGAAGUGCGUUCGAUACUGCUGGGCUUGAGUACAGGAGGGAGAGGUGGAAUUCCUGGUGUAGGGGUGAAAUCCGUAGAUAUCAGGAGGAACACCGGUGGCGAAGGCGACCUCUUGGCCUGUUACUGACGCUGAGGCGCGAAGGCGUGGGGAGCAAACAGG